AGUCUUGUAGUUUAAUUAAAACAUUAAAUUGCAAAUUUAAAGAAAAUACAAAGUUUAAGACUU
RNAcentral lists this transfer RNA (63 nucleotides) under Sophonia linealis. Its description in RNAcentral is "tRNA-Cys". The record is from RNAcentral. Lineage: Eukaryota; Metazoa; Arthropoda; Insecta; Hemiptera; Cicadellidae.